UCUCUUCUCUCCCUCUCUCUCUAGAAGACAAAGGAGAAGAAGAAGAAAGGAAGAAAAGAAGGAAAGGAAGGAGAAGAAAGUGAAGAAGAAGAUCAAAGAGCAAAAGGAGCUUCAUCUUCUUCCUCUCUAGUGCAAGUUAGGGCAAGCUUUGAGGUAAGCUUUGCCCCUUUUGAUGAUUACUCCCAAACUAGGGUUUGGGUAGACCUAGAAUUGGUUUUUAUGGAGUUUUUAGAGUAUUUGAAGCUUUCUUUUUGCUUCUUUAGAGAUCAAAACCAUGGUUGAGCUCAAGGUGAGCUUCAACCCACCUCUAAUGGUGAAAUCCAAACUAGGGUUUGGAGUGAGCUAAGAAUGGUUCUAAUGGACUAUUU
This 368-nucleotide long non-coding RNA is filed under the name Ananas comosus (pineapple). RNAcentral describes it as "long non-coding RNA (ACOM_LNC042183)". The record is from RNAcentral. Lineage: Eukaryota; Viridiplantae; Streptophyta; Magnoliopsida; Poales; Bromeliaceae.